GUCGUUCUCAUCACCGGCAACUGCCACUGCCUGAACCUGUCUCUGCUUCGAGCAGAGGAGGACGAGCACGCCUGCUGGGCUGCCUCCCUCGCACGCGCAUGGUCCGGUUUCAGCCCAGUCCAGCAGCGCCCCGCGCCUGGGCCACUUUCCGCAAGCCAGCCCAGGAGGCCCAAUGUGAGCAGCGCAGUCCCAGCAGAUUCGGCCCGUUUCUAUUUUCUUCCUGUCCAGUGGAUUUAGCUAUUUUCCCAAAGAGUGCUAGUUUUGCAGAAUAGUCCCUAGGCAACAUGCAUAUAAUAACUCCGAAUUUGUGCAUCGGAUUAAAAUGAAUUAUAUAUGAAAAAUGCUUAGAAUUAUGUGUAGGUUAAUUAUAUGCCACUUUCAUCCAUGUUUAAAAUGUCUAAAAUGAUGUUUGUUUAAAUUUGCUCCUAUGUCAUGCUAAAAUGAUUUAUUUCAUAACUAAAUAACUGUGGCUCCGAUUUAAAUAAUCUUUAUAUGUAAAUGGGGUAGAAAAAUGCCUAGAUUUACUUGGUGCACUCAUCUUGCAUGUUUAACAACUUUAAAAUAAUGCUUAGGGCAGAACAGUACCAAACCUUAAAAUAUGCAUAUGGGGUUUUACCGGAAUUGUUGUCCUUUGUUUCCGGCCUCAUUUAAACUUGCCUAGAUAGGUAGUUUUCAUUUGCUUCACCCUCUUGCCAUGUUUAACAACAUUUAAUAUUGUUGAGUUCAUAAACGAGAUCGAACUAAAUAAGUCAUGUGGUGUUCCGUCAAUAUGCAACUCGUUGCAUAUUGAGCUCCACUUAAUUUGUAGAAUUGCUUGUGCAUUUUGCCAUGCCAUGCUUCAUUAAACCGGGUAUGCAUCAUACUUGAUUGUGCAUCAUGCCAUGCGUAUGUGAUGGUUGAUUACUUUGUUGUUUGGUUCUUUCCGGUGUUGCUUCUUCGGGUUGGUUCCGAGAACGUCGUGUUUGUGAGGAUCCGUUCGACUAUGUCCGUUUGCCUUCUUCAUGGACUCAUUCUUCUUCCUUGCGGGAUCUCAGGCAAGAUGACCAUACCCUCGAAAUCACUUCUAUCUUUGCUCGCUUAGUUGCUCGCUCUUUUGCUAUGCCUAUGCUACGAUACCUACCACUUGCUUAUCAUGCCACCCAUAUUGUUGAACCAAGCCUCUAACCCACCUUGUCCUAGCAAACCGUUGUUUGGCUAUGUUACCGCUUUGCUCAGCCCCUCUUAUAGUGUUGUUAGUUGCAGGUGAAGAUUGAAGUUUGUUCCUUGUUGGAACAUGGAGAUGUUGUUCCUUGUUGGAACAUGAUUAUUUUGUUGGGAUAUCACAAUAUCUAUUAUUUAAUUAAUGCAUCUAUAUACUUGGUAAAGGGUGGAAGGCUCGGCCUUAUGCCCAGUGUUUUGUUCCACUCUUGCCGCCCUAGUUUUCGUCAUAUCGGUGUUAUGUUCCUAGAUUUUUGCGUUCCUUACACGGUUGGGUCAUAAUGGGAACCCCUUGACAGUUCGCCUUCAAUAAAACUGCUCCAGCAAGGCCCAACCUUGGUUUUACCAUUUGCCACCUAGCCUUUUUCCCUUGGAGUCGCGCAUCCCGAGGGUCAUCUUUAUUUUAACCCCCCCCCGGGGGGCCAGUGCUUGUCUAAGUGUUGGUCCAAACUAGAGCCACUUGCGGCGCCACCUCGGGGAAACUUGAGGGCUGGUUAUAGCUGUACGUAGUGUUCAUCCGGUGUUGCCCUGAGAACGAGAUAUGUGCAGCUCCUAUCAGGAUGUUGGCGCAUCGGGCGGUCUUGCUGGACUUGUUUUACCAUUGUCGAGGAUGUCUUGUAACCGGGAUUCCGAGUCUGAUCGGGUCUUCCCGCUAGAAGGAAUAUCCUUCGUUCAUCGUGAGAGCUUGUGAUGGGCUAAGUUGGGACACCCCUGCAGGGUUAUGAUCUUUCGAAAGCCGUGCCCACGGUUAUGGGCAGAUGGGAAUUUGUUAACGUCCGAUUGUAGAAAACCUGAAGUUGACCUUAAUUAAAAUACAUCAACCCCGUGUGUAACCGUGAUGUUCUCUUCCGGCGGAGUCCGGGAAGUGAACUCGGUGUUGGAGUUAUGCUUGACGUAGGUUGUUCUAGGAUCACUUCUUGAUCAUACUUUUAUCGACCGUGCUUUGCCUUCUCUUCUCGCUCUCAUUUGCAUAUGUUAGCCACCAUAUAUGCUAAUCGCUUGCUGCAGCUCCACCUCAUACCUUUACCUUACCCAUAAGCUUAAAUAGUCUUGAUCGCAUGGGUGUGAGAUUGCUGAGUCCCCGUGACUCACAGAUACUUCCAAAACCAGUUUGCAGGUGCCGAUGUUUCUGAGCAGGUGACGCAAACAAGGUCAAGGAGGAGCUCAAUGAAGAUCUUGUCCUUUAUGUUGUUUCGUUUCGAGUUGAUCAGUAGUGGAGCCCAGUUGGGGUCGAUCGGGGAUCUGUGUAGCAUUUGGGGUAGUCUUCUUUUAUUUUGGGUUCCGUAGUCGGACCUUGAUUGUAUCUGGUUGAUGUAAUGCUUUAUUCAUUUAAUUGUGUGAAGUGGCAAUUGUAAGCCAUCUAUGUAUCUCUUUCCCUUAUGUAUUACAUGGGUUGUGUGAAGAUUACCUCACUUGCGACAUUGCUUUCAAUGCGGUUAUGCCUCUAAGUCAUGCUUCGACACGUGGGAGAUAUAGCCGCAUCGAGGGCGUUACAAGUUGGUAAUCAGAGCCUUCCCCGACCUUAGGAGCUCCCUGCUUGAUCGAAUAGCUGGCGUUGUUGAGUCUAGAAAAAUGUUUUGAG
RNAcentral lists this long non-coding RNA (2779 nucleotides) under Triticum aestivum (bread wheat). RNAcentral's name for it is "long non-coding RNA (TAES_LNC020963)". The record is from RNAcentral. Lineage: Eukaryota; Viridiplantae; Streptophyta; Magnoliopsida; Poales; Poaceae.